Non-coding RNA from Mycena leptocephala, 92 nucleotides. Lineage: Eukaryota; Fungi; Basidiomycota; Agaricomycetes; Agaricales; Mycenaceae. The record is from the annotation of a GenBank genome assembly.
GGCUUGAUGGUGUAGCGGUCAACACACCUGCGACUCGUUCAUUGCUUGCUGCCGUAGCGCGGGGGACGCCUGUUCGAUUCAGGCUUAAGCCA